UACGUAGGGUCCGAGCGUUGUCCGGAAUUAUUGGGCGUAAAGGGCUCGUAGGCGGUUUGUCACGUCGGGAGUGAAAACUCAGGGCUCAACCCUGAGCGUGCUUCCGAUACGGGCAGACUAGAGGUAUGCAGGGGAGAACGGAAUUCCUGGUGUAGCGGUGGAAUGCGCAGAUAUCAGGAGGAACACUGGUGGCGAAGGCGGUUCUCUGGGCAUGACCUGACGCUGAGGAGCGAAAGCAUGGGGAGCGAACAGG
Molecule: ribosomal RNA, 253 nt
Filed under: uncultured bacterium
Lineage: Bacteria
Description: partial 16S ribosomal RNA
Rfam family: Bacterial small subunit ribosomal RNA
Source: RNAcentral